RNAcentral lists this long non-coding RNA (404 nucleotides) under Scophthalmus maximus (turbot). Its description in RNAcentral is "lncRNA (ENSSMAG00000028149.1)". Lineage: Eukaryota; Metazoa; Chordata; Actinopteri; Pleuronectiformes; Scophthalmidae. The record is from RNAcentral.
AAAAAAACAGGAUUAAAAUUAUCAUAUAAAGCCAUUUAAUGUUGGAUUUAUCAUCAUGGACAUGUUGUACAGAGUCUCGGAAAAAGACACUGAGGUUCCAGGCCGCACUACAAGUCUUCCAGAAGGGCCACGGUCGCACGGGAGCCCUGGUUGGAACGUGUUAGCUUCCCGGCAAACCCUGAGCAAUCAUGACACUUUGGACCACGGGCUGCUUUGGCUACUCCAAACGGGGGAUACCUCGACCAGUGCUCGCCGUUUUACUUCACGAGAAAAGUGCUGCUCUUGAAGCUCCCGAAGCUCCUGAUGCUCCUGAAACGCCUCGUCAGUAGUCCGCCCGAUACUUCUGUAAAAUGGUGACUCACUGUAUCACUGACACAUAAGAGACUCACUGAGCCGGAGAAAAA